GACGAACGCUGGCGGCGUGCUUAACACAUGCAAGUCGAACGGUGAAGCGCCUUCCUUUUUGGUGGGUGUGGAUGAGUGGCGAACGGGUGAGUAACACGUGAGUCACCUGCCCCCUUCUUCUGGAUAACCGCAUGAAAGUGUGGCUAAUACGGGAUAUUCUGGGUCUGUCGCAUGAUGGGUCUGGGAAAGAUAUUGUUUCGGUGGGGGAUGGGCUCGCGGCCUAUCAGCUUGUUGGUGGGGUGAUGGCCUACCAAGGCGGUGACGGGUAGCCGGCCUGAGAGGGUGGACGGUCACACAGGGACUGAGACACGGCCCAGACUCCUACGGGAGGCAGCAGUGGGGAAUAUUGCACAAUGGGCGUAAGCCUGAUGCAGCGACGCCGCGUGAGGGAUGGAGGCCUUCGGGUUGUGAACCUCUUUCGCCAGUAAAGCAGGCCUGCCUCGUUUGUGGGUGGAUUGACGGUAGCUGGAUAAGAAGCGCCGGCUAACUACGUG
RNAcentral lists this ribosomal RNA (494 nucleotides) under uncultured bacterium. RNAcentral describes it as "partial 16S ribosomal RNA". It matches the Rfam family "Bacterial small subunit ribosomal RNA", at positions 28 to 507 of the family's 1533-position model. The record is from RNAcentral.